RNAcentral lists this ribosomal RNA (424 nucleotides) under Verrucomicrobiota bacterium. RNAcentral's name for it is "Verrucomicrobia bacterium partial 16S ribosomal RNA". It matches the Rfam family "Bacterial small subunit ribosomal RNA", at positions 355 to 776 of the family's 1533-position model. Lineage: Bacteria; Pseudomonadati; Verrucomicrobiota. The record is from RNAcentral.
UGAGGAAUAUUGGUCAAUGGGCGAGAGCCUGAACCAGCCAAGUAGCGUGCAGGAUGACGGCCCUAUGGGUUGUAAACUGCUUUUAUAUGGGAAUAAAGUGAGGGACGUGUCGCUUAUUGCAUGUACCAUACGAAUAAGGACCGGCUAAUUCCGUGCCAGCAGCCGCAGUAAUACGGAAGGUCCAGGCGUUAUCCGGAUUUAUUGGGUUUAAAGGGAGCGUAGGCUGUUUGUUAAGCGUGUUGUGAAAUGUAAGAGCUCAACUUUUAGAUUGCAGCGCGAACUGGCAGACUUGAGUGCGCACAACGUAGGCGGAAUUCAUGGUGUAGCGGUGAAAUGCUUAGAUAUCAUGACGAACUCCGAUGGCGAAGGCAGCUUACGGGAGCGCAACUGACGCUAAAGCUCGAAGGUGCGGGUAGCGAACAGG